GGUGGGAUAUCUCAGUUGGUAGGACAUGAGGCUCUUAAUCUCAGGGUUGCGGGUUCGAUCCCUGCACUGAGCA
This is a non-coding RNA of Podarcis lilfordi (Lilford's wall lizard), 73 nucleotides long. NCBI's taxonomy places the organism in Eukaryota, Metazoa, Chordata, Lepidosauria, Squamata, Lacertidae. The record is from the annotation of a GenBank genome assembly.